CAAGAAUUAACUCCUUUUUUUCAUAUAACUGCAUAAAAUUUCACAGAGUGAUUUAUUUUUCAAAACAGUUAUAUCAUGUAUAUGGUACAAAUUUCAAAAACAAACAAAAGAUUGUAUUAAAAGAUAAAGCAGGUCUCUUUCUCAUCCUAUCUUUCAGUUCCCAAGCCUGCCCAGGCGCACCCAAACUAUUAUUACCAAUGUCCUUUAUUUCUUCCAUAGAUAGCCUACCAUUAACAAGGACACAUGCAUAUAUACACAUUUUCCACUCUCCUUUGCCAAUAUGCUUUUUUAAAAACAAAAUGGUAGCCUUCUGUGUAUACUGUUUUGCAUCUUGCUUUUUUCACUUAACAAUAUUGCUUUGAGAUAAUUCCAUAUAUAAUGCCUUUAGAAUUUAACAUUAUGAUGUAUUCAGUCAUUGACACAUACUCCUUAUAAUCAUCAUCUUUAGUGGCUGUAAAAAGUUUGAGUAAAUGCUUCAUCCAUUCCUUUAACAAAUAUUUAUCAACUACCUGCCACAUUAGCAGUGUGCUAAUGAUUCUAAGAUUAAAAGGAGAUGGACCACACCCUUGAAGGAGUCACAGCAGAGUGGAGGAGACAGUAAACAAGUAAUUACACGUAGUCUCCAAGUGCUGAAAUGGAAGCAUGUCGGAGCCACUGAUGGAACAAAAGAGGGAGCCUUGAAAACGCUGGUGCAAAGUGUUGAGGAUAAGGAAGAGGACUCAGCUCACAGACACAGGGCGAGGUGGGGCUUCAUGCAGGGACCAGGAACGACAGGUGCAAAGGCAGGGACACAAGAAGCAACAUUGUGGUCCAGGUGGCUACAAGGACUUGGGAGGAGCCCUCGUCUAGGAUCUUUAAGUUGUGGCCAAGUCUUCAAUAUAAAUAAUGCUGUGAUGUACAAUUUGCGGUGUAUAACUUUUGCCAUAUUUUGGAGUAUUUCUUUGGCUAGAUUCCCAGAAGUGGGACUGCUGAGUUAAAAUGCAGGAGCAUGCUGACCUGUGACAUACAGCCAAAAUGCUUUCCAAGUGGACGGUAUCAUUUCAUGACACUGGCAAUGUAGGAGCAAACCAGUGCUCAU
This 1078-nucleotide long non-coding RNA is filed under the name Equus caballus (horse). RNAcentral's name for it is "lncRNA (ENSECAG00000051685.1)". The record is from RNAcentral. Lineage: Eukaryota; Metazoa; Chordata; Mammalia; Perissodactyla; Equidae.